RNAcentral lists this ribosomal RNA (466 nucleotides) under uncultured bacterium. Its description in RNAcentral is "partial 16S ribosomal RNA". It matches the Rfam family "Bacterial small subunit ribosomal RNA", at positions 28 to 507 of the family's 1533-position model. The record is from RNAcentral.
GACGAACGCUGGCGGCGUGCUUAACACAUGCAAGUCGAACGGUAAGGCUCCAGCUUGCUGGCGUACACGAGUGGCGAACGGGUGAGUAACACGUGGGUGACCUGCCCUGCACUUCGGGAUACUCCUUGGAAACUGGGUCUAAUACCGCAUAGGACCAUGUUCUGCAUACUGUGGUGGAGAGUUUUUUCGGUGUGGGAUGGGCCCGCGGCCUAUCAGCUUGUUGGUGGGGUAAUGGCUUACCAAGGCGGCGACGGGUAGCCGGCCCGAGAGGGUGGCCGGCCACAUUGGGAGUGAGACACGGCCCAGAAGCCUACGGGAGGCAGCAGUGGGGAAUAUUGCACAAUGGGCGGAAGCCGGAUGAAGCGACGCCGCGGGGGGGAUGAAGGCCUUCGGGUUGUAAACACCUUUCACCAUCGACGAAGGGUUUAUGACGGUAGAUGGAGAAGAAGCACCGGCUAACUACGUG